UACGUAGGGGGCAAGCGUUGUCCGGAAUUAUUGGGCGUAAAGAGCUCGUAGGCGGUGUGUCGCGUCGGCCGUGAAAACCUGGGGCUCAACUCUGGGCGUGCGGUCGAUACGGGCAUCACUUGAGUUCGGCAGGGGAGACUGGAAUUCCUGGUGUAGCGGUGAAAUGCGCAGAUAUCGGGAAGAACACCCGUGGCGAAGGCGGCUCUCUGGGACGGUACUGACGCUGAGACGCGAAAGCGUGGGGAGCGAACAGG
Molecule: ribosomal RNA, 254 nt
Filed under: uncultured bacterium
Lineage: Bacteria
Description: partial 16S ribosomal RNA
Rfam family: Bacterial small subunit ribosomal RNA
Source: RNAcentral